RNAcentral lists this ribosomal RNA (484 nucleotides) under uncultured bacterium. RNAcentral's name for it is "partial 16S ribosomal RNA". It matches the Rfam family "Bacterial small subunit ribosomal RNA", at positions 30 to 507 of the family's 1533-position model. The record is from RNAcentral.
AUUGAACGCUGGCGGCAUGCUUUACACAUGCAAGUCGAACGGCAGCGCGGGCUUCUGCCUGGCGGCGAGUGGCGAACGGGUGAGUAAUUCAUCGGAACGUGCCCUGUAUUGGGGGAUAGGCCGGCUAAAGCCGGAUUAAUAUCGCAUACGACCUUAUGUUGAAAGCGGGGGACCGAAAGUCCUCGCGCGUUUUGCGCGGACGAUGUCGGAUUAGCUAGUUGGUUAGGUAAAGGCUUACCAAGGCGACGAUCCGUAGCUGGUCUGAGAGGCCGACCAGCCACACUGGGACUGAGACACGGCCCAGACUCCUACGGGAGGCAGCAGUGGGGAAUUUUGGGCAAUGGGGGAAAGCCUGAUCCAGCAAUGCCGCGUGAGGGAAGAAGGCCUUCGGGUUGUAAAACGCUUUUGUUCGGGAAGAAAUCAUCUGGGAUAAUACGCCGGGGGGAUGACGGUACCGGAAGAAUAAGCACCGGCUAACUACGUG